UGUGUGCACUCUGUCUUGUAAACACCCAGGGUGAACCUCUGCCUCAGCGCUGGAGCCCUCCUCUCCGGGCCCCGCCACCGCGGAGGGGCCGGCAACGUGGAGCAGGUACAGAAGAAGAAGUAGAAGGAGAAGGAGGAGAGGCUUCGGCGGAGAGCAGUCGACUGAACAGACUCCCAUGGCCGCACCACGCUGUGGGAAUCAUUGAUCCCUUACGACGCUGCAGGACCCUCCAUCCCCUGACGCUCACAGAGUGGUCGCGGAGGAAAUGCUCCGGCUGGAAGUGAGGAUGAUUUGUCAUGUGAAAGGCGAGACGCUGGCACCAAGCGAUGACGCAAAGAAAGAGCUGCUUCAUUGAUUGAUACAGUCGGGGGGGUUUCCAGCACCAUUAUGCAAGGGUGCCGAUGAGUCACCUGAUCAGGACGCCGAGCCCCUGCCCUCCUGCGCAUGGGAGCAGUUCCUCUUCCUCAUCUCUUCCUCACCUCCUCCUUCCCCUCCGCCCGCAGUAAUUCACAACCCGCCAACACAAUUCAUCCCUGGCCCAGAGAGAGAGAGAGAGAGAGAGAGAGAGAGAGAGAGAGAGAGAGAG
This is a long non-coding RNA of Gadus chalcogrammus (walleye pollock), 586 nucleotides long. RefSeq lists it as uncharacterized. The record is from RefSeq and is a predicted model, not a curated record. The transcript is spliced from 4 exons. NCBI's taxonomy places the organism in Eukaryota, Metazoa, Chordata, Actinopteri, Gadiformes, Gadidae.